UAAUUAUUUUAUUAUCUUAUUAUUAGUUAAAUUAGUAUUUCUACUGAUAAUUUUUUUUUUUUUCCAAUAAGUAAAUCUUUACAGGAUUUCAAUCUUACAAGCAACAACAAUUAAUUUAUGUGUUAUAUUAUGUUUCAAUUUUUCGCGCGAUUUUUGAAUGAAAAAAAUAAGCAUCAUGAGCCAACCAAUCAGAACAUCCCUUAAUUCGAGACGCGGGACGAAUUAGUGCGCAUCGCAAUGCGCAUCGGAGUGCGCAACGCAGUGCGCAUCACACUGCGCAUCACACUGCGCAUGUCGUCAGUCUACAGUUGAAAAUUGUGUGGAGUGGAUGUGUCGUCGCAAAUUCGGAUUACGCAGUUUAAUUGAUAGCGUUAUGGUAAUAUUCUCGAAGGCGGGAAAAAUUCCAAUAUGGACGCCAUGUCUUUCUUGGUGACUUUCUUUCGUGGUAAAAUCUUAUAUUUCAAAUCCUCUUCAACUUUCAACGGUAUGGAUUACAUCAUCGAAUAAAUAUUUUAAUUUUUAUAUUAGGAUUUCUUACAGGAGCAGAAGAUUGUACGAUAUUGAUUAAAGAAAAUGUAUUUAGAAUUAAGUGCAUGCACAAUCAAGGGUAUUAAAUAAAGUAGUGUAGUAUUGUAGAAAAGUAGAUACUGUAGAUAAAUAGAUGGGUAAAAUGGGUGUAGCGCUUUUUGGGAUGCUUAUUUUGCUUGUUUUUUUUCUUUUUUUUUUUUGCGCACGCUUUUUACUAUCAAUCAUUCUUCAUUUUCAUAUCGAAAUGGAAGUGUAAAAUAUUGAUAGAAAAUCUUUUAAUUUUAAUUUUAUUUUCAGAUUUAGUCUUCCGCGCCGGUUUUCCUUAGAAUUCCUUUCGUUGUUUGUUUUGCACAACGAUCGAAGGAUUCGAACGUUUUGCAAAUUUAUAUCGAAAGGAAAAUUUAUUAUUAAUUUUAAAUAAAUUUUUGCGUAAAGGAGGGUGGACGGGAUCGUGGAUAGGGUGGGUCUCCAAUUCGCAGCAACCUCCACGCGGUGAGACCUGGAAAAUCAUUAUUAUUUACUAUAUUAUUCAUAAUCGUAUCCUUGAUACAAUUAUAAAUUUUAUAGCGAAUAAUGUGAGCUAAUUGGCUGCGCACGCGAUUUCAAUGAUUAUUUUUUUAUUUUGUAAUUAUUAAGAUUUAUUAAAUUAUUAACGAUCAAAGUUUGAACGUUUUGCUUACAUCGAAAAGAAGAAUUUAUUUGUGAAUAAAAUAAUUUGUGAAAAUUGUAAAGUGUAAGAUUUUUUUUUCUUUUUUUGUUUCUUUGAGUUAUAACAAAUUGUUUACCUAAUUAGAGUAUGUACGCCAAGCGUAAUAUACUCUAAUCUUUUUUCGAUUCAGAAUACAUUUUAUAAAAUCCCAUAAGAUAUCGCGUCAAUCUAUUUCUGGUCGGUAUUUCGUUUAUACGUUUAUUUUACGAUCGUUAAAGAAACACAUAGAGGAGGAUAAGAAAUAUAGGUGAAUAGAAAGUGAAUAGAGAUAAGAUAAGAAUUGAACGUGAGCCCCAUCUCUUGCAAGCUAGAAACAUUUCUUUAAAGAAAUAUUUUUCUAAAGUCACCAGAGAUGGCAAUAAUAGUUAAUUCUUACUCUACCUUAUCCUCCUCGGAGAAAAAUCUUAUCCUGUUAUUCAAUCAUUUUUAAUUUAUAAUUGUUGAUUUUUGUGUUAUAUUCCCUUUUUAUUUUAUUUCUUAUUUAUAUUUAUUUAUUACAAUGUACAAUUUUUAUUGUUCAAGUUCAAGUUAGAUUUAGUUAAUUGUUAUGUUAAAUAUCUUUUUUUAUGUAUU
Molecule: long non-coding RNA, 1810 nt
Organism: Apis cerana (Asiatic honeybee)
Lineage: Eukaryota; Metazoa; Arthropoda; Insecta; Hymenoptera; Apidae
Source: RefSeq, a predicted model, not a curated record